ACUGUUCCAAGUGCUUGAUAAG
This 22-nucleotide microRNA is filed under the name Ornithorhynchus anatinus (platypus). Its description in RNAcentral is "Oan-Novel-3_3p* (star (passenger))". Lineage: Eukaryota; Metazoa; Chordata; Mammalia; Monotremata; Ornithorhynchidae. The record is from RNAcentral.